RNAcentral lists this long non-coding RNA (3521 nucleotides) under Callithrix jacchus (white-tufted-ear marmoset). Its description in RNAcentral is "lncRNA (ENSCJAG00000081435.1)". Lineage: Eukaryota; Metazoa; Chordata; Mammalia; Primates; Cebidae. The record is from RNAcentral.
CGUGCACGGCCCUCCCACAGCAAGCACCGCCCUCCCGCAGCACGCACCGCCCACCCCCAGCGCGCACCGCCCUACCGCAGCACGCACCGCCCACCCCCAGCGUGCACAGCCCUCCCGCAGCACGCACCGCCCUCCCGCAGCACGCACCGCCCACCUUCCGCUUGGCCUGGGACGCGAUACUGAGGAGCUCCAGGUGGGGGGCAACGUGGGGAGGCAACUGCAGUCUCUACUGCCUAGGCUGGAAUGCAGUGGUGUGACCACAGCUCACUGCAGUUUCGAACUCCUGGGAUCAGCAAUCCUCACUUCAGCCUCCAGAAUAGCUGGAACUACAGGUGUACAUCACAUCUGGCUAAUUUUUAAUUUUUGUAUACAUGGGGUAUUGCAAUGUUGCCCAGGUUGGUAUCAAACUCCUGGCCUCAAGUGAUCCUCCCGCCUCAGCCUCCCAAAAGGCUGGGAUUCCAGGCAGGAGCAACCACACUCGGCCAAAGCAUCUCUUCAUCUGUCUCCUUUGCAGUUUCCUUUAUAAUAAAUGAGUAACUGUAAGUAAAUGCUUUCCUGAGUUCUGUGAGCAACUCCAGCAAAUGAAGCAAACCCAAAAAAGGGGUUGUGAGUAACUCAACAGAAGCCGGUCAGUCAGAAGUUCCCAAGGCUCAGGUGUCUGAAGCAGGGGGGGAAUUUUGGAGGUGAGCCCCCAGCCUGUGGGAUCUGAGGCUGUUUCCAGGGAGAGCGUGUCAGAACUGAAGAAGAGGACCCCAGCUCCUGUCUGCUGCAGAAUCGAUUGCUUGCUUACAGGGGAGGCGAAAUCCCCACAUGUCUUGGGGUCAAAGAAGCCUUCUGUGUUGAUUACUGUUGUUUCAGUGUGAGAGCAGAAGAAAAGCACAAUUUGAAAGAUUAUUUUAAACAAGCAUAUACAAAAAUUAGCUAAAAGUGGAUCAAAGCCCUAAACAUAAAAGCUAAAAUUAUAAGAUUCUUAGAAUAAAACACAGGAGUAAACCAUCACUGGUCAGGGAUGGUGCAUGGUGGCUCACACCUACAGUCCUAGCACUUAGGGAGGCAGACACAGGAGGACAGUUUGAGCCCAGGGGUUCAAGACCAGCCUGGGCAAUAUAGCAAGACCCCAUUCAUUUUUUUUUUUAAUUUUUUAUUUUUUGAGACCAAGUUUUACUCUGUCACUCAGGCUGUAGUGCAGUGGCAUGAUCUCAGCUCACUGCAACCCCCUCCUCCAAUCGCUCAAGCGAUUCUCCUGCCUCAGCCUCCCAUGUAGCUGGGAUUAUAGGCACCUGCCACUAUGCCUGGCUAAUUUUUGUAUUUUUAGUAGAGAUGGGAUUUCAACAUGUUGGCCAGGCUGGCCUUGAACUCCUGACCUCAGAUGAUCUGCCCACCUUGGCCUCCCAAAGUGCUGGGAUUACAGGCAUGAACCACUGUGUCAGCCGAGAACCCAUUCUUACUUUUAAAAAUAAUAAAAGUAAAAAUAAAUACAAUUCAUCAUGAACUCGGAUUUGAAAUGGUUUCUUAGCUAUGACAUCAAAAGCAAAGGCAACAAGAGGGGAAAAAUAGAUAAGAUUGGUUCAAUUAAAAGUAGAAACUGUGGCUCACACCUGUAAUCUCAGCACUUGGGAGGCUGAGGUGGGUGGAUCACAAGGUCAAGAGAUCAAGACCAUCCUGACCAACAUGGUGAAACCCCGUCUCUACUAAAAACACACAAAAAUUAGCCGGGUGUGGUGGCGGACGCCUGUAGUCCAGCUACUCAGGAGGCUGAGGCAGGAGAAUCACUUGAACCUGGGAGGUGGAGGCUGCAGUGAGCUGAGAUCGCACCACCGCACUCCAGCCUGGUAACAGAGCGAAACUCUAUCUCAAAACAAAAAUAAGUAAAAACGACUGUUCUUCAAAGAACUCAUUAAGAAGUGAAAAGACAAAGCACAGAAUGGGAGAGACUGUUUGCAGAUCAUAUAUGUGAGAAAGGAUGUGAAUCCAGAACAUAGAACUCUUACAACCUAAAAAUAAAAAGGCAAAUAAUCCAAUUCAAAACUGGGCAAAGGAUCAGAAAAUACAUUGAUUUCUUCAAAGAAGAUACACAAACAGCAAACAGCACAUGAAAAGACACUCCACGUUACUGACCAUCAGAGAAAGGCCACCAGAACAGAAAGGAGAGGCCACCUGUUGCAGUCUGUGGAGGCCACGGGGUGGCUGAGUCAACAGAAAUUUAUUUUCUUAAUGGUUCUGUGAGUCUGGCAAUCCCAAGAUCAAGGUCCCAUCAGAAUGGGGAACGGGUUUCUUACACAGCCUCUCUUCCUGGCUUACAGACAACUGCCUUCUCCCUGUGUCCUCACAGGUAUGAGAAAGAAAAACCUUCUUCUAAGGAUACCGGUCCUCUUGGAUUCAGGCCCCACCCUCCUGACUUCAUUUACCUUAAUUACCCCUUAAAGCCUUGUCUGCAAAUACAGUCACAUGGGGGCUGGGGCUUCGCCACAUGAACUCUGAUGAACACGAUUCGGUCGAUAACACCACUGGUACCCACGAGGUUGGCUUACUCAAAAGCACAAUGACAAGUGUCGUAGGGGGUAUGGAGGAAUCAGAACCCUCGGACCUGCUGGUGGGAAUGUGAAUGGCAGGGCCACUUUGAAAAAUGGUCUAGUUCCUCAGUCAAACGCAGGGUUGCCAUAUGACCUAGCAAUGCCACACAUGUGCGCAAGAGAAUUAAAAACAUGUCCAUACAACAUGCAUGUACACAAAUGCCCAUACAGAAUUAUGCAUAAUGGCCAAAGAGUGACACAACCUAAAUGCCUGUCAACUCAUGAAUGGAUAAAGUGUGGGCUCUCCACACAGUGGAACAUCCUCCGGCAAUAGCGGGGAAUGAAGUACUAACAGGUGCUAUCUGGCUUUCAGUGGAUGGACCUGGAAAACAUGCUAAGUGAAAGAACCAGACACAAAGGGCACCUUUGCAUGGUUCCAUUUACAUGAACUGGUCCACAGAAGGCAAGUCAUAGAGACAGAAAACAGGUCCGUGGUUGUUUCGGGUUGAGGGGGAUGGGGGAGUUGGAAAGCGACUGCUUGUUUUGUUUUGUUUUGUUUUGUUUUGUUUUGUUUUGUUUUUGAAAUGAUCAAAAUAUUCUGGCCAGGCACGGCGGCUCACACCUGUAAUCCCAGCACUUUGGGAGGCCAAGGCAGGUGGAUUACCUGAGGUCAGGAGUUCAAGACCAGCCUGGUCAACACAGUGAAACCCCAUCUCUACUAAAAAUACAAAAGUUAGCCAGGUGUGGUGGUGGGUGCCUGUAAUCCCAGCUACUCAGGAGGCUGAGGCAGGAGAAUCACUUGAACCUGGGAGGCGGAGGUUGCAAGAUCGAGCCACUGCACUCCAGCCUGGGAGACAAGAGUGAAACUUCAUUUCAAAAAAAAAAAAAAAGAAAAGAAAAAGAAAAUGUUCUAAAAUUAAUCAUGGUGAUGGUUGCACAAAUCUGUGAAUAUACUAAAAAAUCACUGUACACUUUAAAUGGGUGAAUUGGAUAGUAUAUGAAUUCUGC